ACUGCCAGAGGAUGGGGGUGCCUGCUGGGCAGACUGGGAACACCGAGGAGGGCAGGCUGGACAAGCAGCCAGCCAGGGCAGGCAGAAGGAAGGCCUGGAGCCCAAUCUUUCCUGUCCCAGUUCCCAGCACGAGCAUCCUCUGGCACUGGAGUCCUGAGUUCAAGUCCCAUUCACCCUCGGACCCCUCUGUGGGCCUCACUUUCCCCAUCUGAGUACAAGAGCAGAGACCUGAUGAGGUCAGCGCUUGGGAUUCCCACUUCUUUAAGCUGUUCUUGGCAAGGGUGCAGCCAGCAGCAGGGAGUCUGAGUCCUUUCUUCCAGUCAGCCUGCUGGGACCCGAGAAGGGGGACCCAACACUAGUGAUGCAUGUUCUGUUGAACCCUCCUCACCUGACAGAUGAAAACAGGCUCAAAGCACCGUGGUGACCCACUGAGAUCAUGCUCAGCCUCUGGGGCUGAGGGCAUCACUCCCAUUUCUGAUGAGCAGCUCUGAAAGGCAGAUACGUGCUAAGAGCGGGACUUGAAUCUCAUCUCUGGACUCGAGUCCAGGCCUCUUGCUACCAUAUGUGGCUCCCUCUGGAUCCCAGGGCUGGCUUGGCUGGGAGGAGGCCAGAGAGGCAGGGAUGCGAGAGACAGUGUUCCUUUGGCUCUUCUGGAUGACAAGCGCCACAGAAAUGCUUAUGCAAGAGCUCAAGGAGACGGGACUUGUAGUGCCCGACGCUGUGGCUGUGCAGUGGGGCCUGGGAAUCCUGCAUCCUUGUCCAGGGCACUUCAGGGUCAUCUUUACCUCCAAAAUCAAUCAACCUUCCAGCUUCUAGGCCUGUGGGCUUGGGUCUCUCUCACAUGCGUCUGUUCCUCUGUGUCCUGGAGAUGUCUAGAACCCCUGGUGGUCAGCCCUGCCAUUCCAGACUCAGGGGUGUGAGCACACAGCCUCUCUCUGCCUGCAGGUCGGACACUACCCCUGACCCUGGAACUCAAAGCCUGUCUCCCUUGCUCCUUGCUGCCUGGGUGUCCUUCUGUUUCCGGCCUCCAUGGGUGGCCCUGCCUGACCCUGUCCUGGCCUGAGGGGUGGGGUGGGGGAAUGGGAAGGGUGUGCACAGUGCUGCUCUUGUUCAGGGGAUCAGGGAGGGACCAGUGCCCGCUCUUGUGUUCCAGCCCCUGGCUUGGUCUUGGCAAGCCGGAGGGUGAGCUGCAGCUCUACCUGCAGCAUCAUCUCAACAUCCUUCCUGCCGGCAGAGCAGGCCCAGAGCCACUAUGGAAUCUGACCAAGAAGGCCCUUAGCUGGGCUCUCAUUUCAGGCUAUUACUGAUCCCUCUGCCUCUAGCUGCUCUGCCUCAUGACCUGUGCCACAUGAUGAAGACAGGAUGUGGGUGGUGUGGAUAUGUCCAGAGACACAGUGGACGCAACACUGGUCCCAGGGCUGCAGUUUCAAGUGUCCCAUCUGGGAACUGGAGGUUUGCAAACAAGGUUUAGAUUCGGGAGAUAGGAAAUCAGCCAGAGGGUGGGGCCCAGU
Molecule: long non-coding RNA, 1511 nt
Organism: Canis lupus familiaris (dog)
Lineage: Eukaryota; Metazoa; Chordata; Mammalia; Carnivora; Canidae
Exons: 4
Source: RefSeq, a predicted model, not a curated record